UGGGGAAUAUUGGACAAUGGGGGCAACCCUGAUCCAGCCAUGCCGCGUGAGUGAUGAAGGCCUUCGGGUUGUAAAGCUCUUUUGGCGGGGACGAUGAUGACGGUACCCGCAGAAUAAGCCCCGGCUAACUUCGUGCCAGCAGCCGCGGUAAGACGAAGGGGGCUAGCGUUGUUCGGAAUUACUGGGCGUAAAGCGAGUGUAGGCGGUUGCCGUAGUCAGGUGUGAAAGCCUUGAGCUCAACUCAAGAAAUGCACUUGAUACUGGGUGACUAGAGGACCGGAGAGGAUAGUGGAAUUCCCAGUGUAGUGGUGAAAUACGUAGAGAUUGGGAAGAACACCAGUGGCGAAGGCGGCUAUCUGGACGGUUACUGACGCUAAGACUCGAAAGCGUGGGGAGCAAACAGGAUUAGAUACCCUGGUAGUCCACGCCGUAAACGAUGGGUGCUAGACGUUGGCGAGCUUGCUCGUCAGUGUCGCAGCUAACGCGUUAAGCACCCCGCCUGGGGAGUACGGCCGCAAGGUUGAAACUCAAAUGAAUUGACGGGGUCAUAGCUGUUUCCU
This 560-nucleotide ribosomal RNA is filed under the name uncultured bacterium. Its description in RNAcentral is "partial 16S ribosomal RNA". It matches the Rfam family "Bacterial small subunit ribosomal RNA", at positions 355 to 1375 of the family's 1533-position model. The record is from RNAcentral.